GGGCCAUUUGCUUAGCCUGGUUAACGGCAUUACAUCAAGCGUGGCCAACAAGCGCAGGUCUUAUACGCCUGAGAGCCGGGGUUCAAAUCCCCGAUGGCCCA
Molecule: transfer RNA, 101 nt
Filed under: Promethearchaeota archaeon
Lineage: Archaea; Promethearchaeati; Promethearchaeota
Description: Candidatus Lokiarchaeota archaeon (permafrost metagenome) tRNA-Ile
Rfam family: tRNA
About the family: Transfer RNA (tRNA) molecules are approximately 80 nucleotides in length. Their secondary structure includes four short double-helical elements and three loops (D, anti-codon, and T loops).
Source: RNAcentral